This 440-nucleotide ribosomal RNA is filed under the name uncultured bacterium. RNAcentral describes it as "partial 16S ribosomal RNA". It matches the Rfam family "Bacterial small subunit ribosomal RNA", at positions 338 to 795 of the family's 1533-position model. The record is from RNAcentral.
CCUACGGGUGGCAGCAGUGGGGAAUAUUGCACAAUGGGGGAAACCCUGAUGCAGCGACGCCGCGUGAGUGAAGAAGUAUUUCGGUACGUAAAGCUCUAUCAGCAGGGAAGAAAAUGACGGUACCUGACUAAGAAGCCACGGCUAACUACGUGCCAGCAGCCGCGGUAAUACGUAGGGGGCAAGCGUUAUCCGGAUUUACUGGGUGUAAAGGGAGCGUAGACGGCAGGGCAAGUCUGGAGUGAAAUCCCAUGGCUUAACCAUGGAACUGCUUUGGAAACUGUGCAGCUAGAGUGCAGGAGAGGUAAGCGGAAGUCGUAGUGUAGCGGUGAAAUGCGUAGAUAUUAGGAGGAACACCAGUGGCGAAGGCGGCUUACUGGACUGUAACUGACGUUGAGGCUCGAAAGCGUGGGGAGCAAACAGGAUUAGAUACCCUUGUAGUC